UUGGAAUAGGGGAUAUCUCAGC
Molecule: microRNA, 22 nt
Filed under: Macaca mulatta (Rhesus monkey)
Lineage: Eukaryota; Metazoa; Chordata; Mammalia; Primates; Cercopithecidae
Also listed under: 1 other name
Description: mml-miR-6505-5p
Source: miRBase by way of RNAcentral